Molecule: non-coding RNA, 73 nt
Organism: Belonocnema kinseyi
Lineage: Eukaryota; Metazoa; Arthropoda; Insecta; Hymenoptera; Cynipidae
Source: the annotation of a RefSeq genome assembly
GUCUCGGUGGCGUAAUUGGUUAACGCUCCACUCAUGUAUAGUGGCAUUCCCGGUUCGAAUCCGGGCUGAGGCA